This 375-nucleotide ribosomal RNA is filed under the name uncultured bacterium. Its description in RNAcentral is "bacterial SSU rRNA". It matches the Rfam family "Bacterial small subunit ribosomal RNA", at positions 527 to 898 of the family's 1533-position model. The record is from RNAcentral.
GUAGGGGGCGAGCGUUGUCCGGAUUUAUUGGGCGUAAAGAGCUCGUAGGCGGUUCGAUAAGUCGGACGUGAAAUCUCCACGCUCAACGUGGAGGGGCCGUUCGAUACUGUCGUGACUCGAGUCCGGUAGGGGAGUGUGGAAUUCCCGGUGUAGCGGUGAAAUGCGCAGAGAUCGGGAGGAACACCCGUAGCGAAGGCGGCACUCUGGGCCGGUACUGACGCUGAGGAGCGAAAGCGUGGGGAGCAAACAGGAUUAGAUACCCUGGUAGUCCACGCCGUAAACGUUGGGCACUAGGUGUGGGACUCUAUCGACGGGUUCCGUGCCGUAGCUAACGCAUUAAGUGCCCCGCCUGGGGAGUACGGCCGCAAGGCUAAA